This is a non-coding RNA of Solanum tuberosum (potato), 54 nucleotides long. NCBI's taxonomy places the organism in Eukaryota, Viridiplantae, Streptophyta, Magnoliopsida, Solanales, Solanaceae. The record is from Rfam.
AUGAGAUGGAAUCAGCGUUUGGACAUGUGAUUUUACGUUGAUUCCAUCUCAUGA